UCCGAGUUGACCCCGGCAGUCUCCUAUGAGUUCCCACCAUUACGUGCUGGCAACAUAGAACGAGGGUUGCGCUCGUUGCGGGACUUAACCCAACAUCUCACGACACGAGCUGACGACAACCAUGCACCACCUGUAUACCGACCUUGCGGGGAGAACAUUUCUGAACUUUUCCGGUAUAUGUCAAGCCUUGGUAAGGUUCUUCGCGUUGCAUCGAAUUAAUCCGCAUGCUCCGCCGCUUGUGCGGGCCCCCGUCAAUUCCUUUGAGUUUUAGCCUUGCGGCCGUACUCCCCAGGCGGGGAACUUAAUGCGUUAGCUGCGACACAGAAACCGUGGAAUGGUCCCUACAUCUAGUUCCCAACGUUUACGGCAUGGACUAC
RNAcentral lists this unclassified non-coding RNA (377 nucleotides) under uncultured Microbacteriaceae bacterium. Its description in RNAcentral is "contains 16S-23S intergenic spacer region". Lineage: Bacteria; Bacillati; Actinomycetota; Actinomycetes; Micrococcales; Microbacteriaceae. The record is from RNAcentral.